This 301-nucleotide ribosomal RNA is filed under the name uncultured bacterium. RNAcentral describes it as "partial 16S ribosomal RNA". It matches the Rfam family "Bacterial small subunit ribosomal RNA", at positions 509 to 807 of the family's 1533-position model. The record is from RNAcentral.
CAGUAGCCGCGGGAAUACGGAGGGUGCAAGCGUUAUCCGGAUUUAUUGGGCGUAAAGCGUACGUAGGCGGCUUUGUAAGUUAGAGGUGAAAGCCUGGUGCUCAACACCAGAACUGCCUUUAAGACUGCAUCGCUUGAACGUCGGAGAGGUGAGUGGAAUUCCGAGUGUAGAGGUGAAAUUCGUAGAUAUUCGGAAGAACACCAGUGGCGAAGGCGGCUCACUGGACGACUGUUGACGCUGAGGUACGAAAGCGUGGGGAGCAAACAGGAUUAGAGACCCGCGUAGUCCCUGUCUCUUAUAC